AACUAUAAUGAGCUACCACCCGGUCCCAGGCCUCCCCGCCCCGCGGCCUCUGCUCCUUCGCCAGGUGGACCACUGCGGCCAGGCUCUCCCACCCGGGGGCGUGAGGCAGGGCCCCCCUGCUCCCUGCUCCCUCCACCCCUCCCCUCCCCUCCCCGCCCCCCCUGCUCCCUCCACUCUCCCCUCCCUGGCCCCGUCCCCCCGCCCCCACCCCCCCCGCUCCUCCGCCAAUCGCAGCCCGGCGCCCGCCACCGAGGCCCGGCAAGCAGGCGGCGGCGGGCGGCGGCGCGGAGGCCGGAGCUUUGUGCCCCGCGGCAGGUAAGGCGCCGGGCGGGGGGGCCGCGGGGAUCGGGCCCUGGGCCGGGAGCCUGGAAGGUGGGCGCGCUCCCGGCCCGGCGGGUGGCCCCGGGGCGGCGGCGGCCCUCCCGGCAACGGCCUCCCCGAGGCCGCGCGUGUCUCGCCCCGUCGGCUGCGCCCGCGCCCGCGCCCGCGCCCCCGCCCCGAGUGCGAAUCCGGCGCCGGCCGCCGCGUCCCUCGGGGGCACCCGCGUCGGGUGGGAAUCCGCCGAGCUUGUGGGGGCCGCAGGAGUCAGGGGCGCCCCGAAAUCGGGCCGAGCUCCCGGAGCAGCGGCGCUGCGGCUGCGGCCCUGGCGCGGCCCGAGGCCCUGAGCUGCUCGGGGCGGGAGGCGGUGCGCGGCGGGCCCGGGCCCGGGGAGGAGCGGCUGCCGACUCCCGCCGGGAGGAGCGGCCUGGGCGCCGGGGCCGAAACCUUCCGCGGCCGGGACCCGCCGCCUCCCCGCAGCCGCAGCCGCAGCCGCAGCCGCAGCCGCAGGUCGCCCGGCAGGACACCCGGCAGGACACCCGGCAGGUCGCCCGGCAGGUCGCCCGGCAGGUCGCCCGGCAGGUCGCCCGGCAGGCCGGCGCGUCCCAGCGGGGGCAGGUCACCCGGGACCGUGGCCCGCGCACGCCCGGCUUGCAGGCGCCCUCGCCCCCACCGGGCAGCCACCAUUUCCUUCUCUGUUCACAAGAGCUUUUAUAUUUAUUCGUGAGAGACACAGAGAGGCAGAGACACAGGCAGAGGGAGAAGCAGGCUCCCUGCGGGGAGCCCGAUGUGGGACCAGGACCCCGGGGUCACGCCCUGGGCCGAAGGCAGAAGCUCAACCGCUGA
RNAcentral lists this long non-coding RNA (1164 nucleotides) under Canis lupus familiaris (dog). Its description in RNAcentral is "lncRNA (ENSCAFG00040008032.1)". Lineage: Eukaryota; Metazoa; Chordata; Mammalia; Carnivora; Canidae. The record is from RNAcentral.